AUUCAUCAAGGUCUUAUUAGACAACCUGUGUUACAGUCCAGCUCUGGAGUAAUCAUGUAAUUAAUGGCUGAUUAAAUGAAUCUGACGUACAGCGACUCAAACAGUGUUCGGACACUAUGACUUACAGCUUGUCUAAAUUAUGUAACAUUAAGAACUAAUUUGAUAUUGAACUAUAUACACUACACUUAGAAUUUAUUUAAAGAAAAAAAUACUUUUAUUCAUCAAGGAUGCAUUAAAUUGUUCAGAAGUGACAGUAAAGACAUUUAUAAUGUUACAGUAGAUUUCUGUUUCAAAUAAAUGCUGUUCUUUUGAACUUUCUAUUCAUCUGUGAAUGCUGAAAAAUAAAAUGCAUCACAAUUUCCACAAAAAUAUUGUGCAGCACAACUGUGUUCAACAUUGAUAAUAAUCAGAAAUGUUUCUUGAGCAGCAAAUCAUCAUAUUAUUAUGAUUUCUGAAGAUCAUGUGACACUGAAGACUGGAGUAAUGAUGCUGAAAAUACAGCUGCACAUCACAGAAAUAAAUUACACUUUAACAGAGAUUCACAUAGAAAACAGCUGUUUGAAUUUAUAAUAAUAUUUCACUGUAAUAACUGUAUUUUUGAUCAAAUAAAUGAAGCCUUGGUGAACAGAAGAGAGUCUUUCAGAAACAUUACAAAAUCCUACUGACCCCAAACUUUUUGCUUCAUGUUUUGAAUCUCCAGAGCUUGAUGUUGUGAGGUUGCAGUGAGCUUGUGCUGUGUUUCUCCAGGAAUCCUCUGUGACUGAGCUCUGCUGCUUCAUUUAAUGAGUGCUAAAGCGGCGGGUCAUUGUGUGAUUCAGUCUCCGGUCAGCAGGACGUCUCAUGAAUGCAGGGUCGCACCGGAGGACGGUGUGUAAUGAGCUCAUCAGCAUUCAAUGUUCACUGAUGGACUGGAGUGCUGUGGAUUACUUGUGGAUUAUUGUGAUGUUUUUAUCAGCUGUUUGGACUCUCAUUCUGACGGCACCCAUUCACUGCAGAGCAUCCAUUGCUGAGACACUGAUGCAGUGCUGCAUUUCUACAAACCUGAUGAAGACACACACUCAUCCUGAUCUCAGAUGAACUGAGGGUGAACACAUUUUCAGUUUUAGCUGAACUAUGUUUUGAAAAAGCCAUCUUAUUUACCUCUGAAAAGUGCAUAAUAGCACUUUAAGGGUGCAUAUCACUUUUAAUAUGCACUUUUGAGUUGACCUUUUAAGACUACUACUGCUGUUGCUCCACCAAAAGUAAUCCUUUUUGCACAUUUGUUUCUGACAGAAUUAUCUAGAUGCAAAUGUAUAUAGAAAUGCAUAUUUAAUGUUGACAAAGAAAGAAAGUCACACAGAUAAAGUGUUUAGCGCAUGUGAGUGAGUGACGUGACAUACAGCCAAGUAUGGUGACCCAUACUCAGAAUUCGUGCUCUGCACUUAACCCAUCCAAAGUGCACACACACAGAGCAGUGAACACACACACACUGUGAACACACACCCGGAGCAGUGGGUAUCAUUUAUGCUGCGGCGCCCGGGGAGCAGUUGGGGGUUCAGUGUCUUGCUCAAGGACACCUCAGUCGUGGUAUUACCGGCCCGAGACUCGAACCCACAACCUUAGGGUUAGGAGUCAAACUCUCUAACCACUAGGCCACGAAGUGAAAUUAGCAUGAGAACAGAGCAGCAAAAAAAAUAUAUCAAUAUAUUUAUGAUAUGUGUUAAAUAUUAAUUAAAUCGUAUUAAUUGGUAAUACAAUUUGUGAUAAUAAUUGUGUAAAAAAAAUACUGAAAUAUGUAAAAGAAUGUAAUCUCCUAAGGUAAAUUGUUAUGGUUGCUACACACACACACACACACACACACACACACACAGGCUAAUGUGCAGCAGGGGGCUGUUGUUGCCCAUGGUUACAGAUGUUAUAGAAUAACUGGACAGGUGUGUGUGUGUGUGUGUGUGUGUGUGUGUGUGUGUGUGUGUGUGUGUGUGUGUGUGUGUGUGUGUCGGUGUGUGUGUGUGUGUGUGUUUCAGGUAUUGACGUCAAACAGUCCCCCCACAGAAACACACACUCACUCAGUUUGAUUGUGUUUGAUUCUGAUGAUUUCUGCUUUCAUUCAUUCGCUCUGGACCCUGUAUCCCCCCUCCCACCCCCCACCCUCUCUCUCAUUCCUUCACAGUCUCUCUCUCUCUCUCUCUCUCUCUCUGACGUCUGUUCUCUGUCUGUCAUUCACUCAGAUGCUCUUCACUAGCUGCAGUCAAGUGUGUGUGUGUGUGUGUGGUCAAACGAGCAUAAAUGAGUGCUUCUAGCAUCAAUUAAAUUCUCAGAGUGCUCAAGGUGAAACUCACUCACACACACUCACUCCUUUAUUCUCCUUUCAUCCGCUCUUUUCUUCUCCCCUCACUUUAAGCAGGCUUCCGGAAGUGAGCGCUCGCUGACCAAAUAUGGACAUCCUGCUGAGAGCGAGAGACCUGCGCUGGAGCCUCCAGUCUGUCUCUCUCUCUCUCUCAAGCCAUUCAU
Molecule: long non-coding RNA, 2493 nt
Organism: Cyprinus carpio carpio
Lineage: Eukaryota; Metazoa; Chordata; Actinopteri; Cypriniformes; Cyprinidae
Source: Ensembl